RNAcentral lists this long non-coding RNA (963 nucleotides) under Felis catus (domestic cat). RNAcentral describes it as "lncRNA (ENSFCAG00000041163.2)". Lineage: Eukaryota; Metazoa; Chordata; Mammalia; Carnivora; Felidae. The record is from RNAcentral.
UUGGGGCGGAGCGCUAACGCCCGCUUGCAGACCCGGGUCUGCGGAGACCCGAGCCGAAGCUGCUGGCCUUUGGGACUGCGCCUCCCGUGGCGACUAAGUUCACGGCCAAACCCUUCCCUCCGCUCCCGUCUUCGGAAGACGGAAUGAAUCACCCUGUUUAUUUUAUCUUCGUUAACGUUCGUUCAUUCAUAAAUUUCUAUUUCAUGCCUGCCAGGUUCCAGCCACGGUUCUGAAUACGAGGGGUAAAUACCUAAAUAAAAAUAAGGGCCCUAUUCUCGAGAAGAAUCGUGUUGGCAGGGGAGUCAAAUACAAGCAACACGCUGUUAAACGUCAUAAACGCCACACGUGCAAGAUAUGAACAGCUUGUUCUAUAGAGGUGGUAUAGUUCGUACAGUAUCAUUAUUUGUCCCACAAAUCAGCAGCUUGUGGCUUCCCUGGAGGGGAAAAUAAAAAAUUGGGCGCUAGGACAUAUUGUCCUUAGGGCGUACAGCCUGAUUUCGGUGAUGUUACAAAUCCCGAUUCUGCCAGUUAAAGCCGUAUGUUUUUCAGAAAAACGAAGGAAGGUGACAGCUAUACUCCAGAAGAGCCCCAACUGCCCUCUUCUCGAUAAAAGAAACUUUCUGGUGCCGGUUAUGCUCAUUUCCGCUCACCAACCGGCCUUCAGAAAUGCUUCCUUGUCACAUCCAUGGUCAGCUAGUUCGAGCCUCCAAAGGUUUUUUUCUGAUCUUGGAUCUAUUUCCAGGCUGUUUGUCCUGUCCAUCUCCCUGCCUAAUUCUGUGAUUGUGGCAUAGUCUUUUCAUUUUCAACUGACUCUUAAACUUUGGGUCCUAUAAUCAAGGGGAACUGUACUCGACCUCCUACGUUGUGCCAUAAGACUUUUAAAGAAUGAUCACAGUAGGCUGCAUUCAUUACAAUCUCAAAAUGGGAACAAUGCAAUGUCAUUCAACAAUAAAAAGAAGCCAG